This 207-nucleotide ribosomal RNA is filed under the name uncultured bacterium. RNAcentral describes it as "partial 16S ribosomal RNA". It matches the Rfam family "Bacterial small subunit ribosomal RNA", at positions 568 to 774 of the family's 1533-position model. The record is from RNAcentral.
CGUGCAGGUGGUUUGGUAAGCUUGGCGUGAAAGCCCCCGGCCCAACCGGGGAGGGUCGUCGAGGACUGUCAGACUUGAGGGGCGCAGGGGUCGGUGGAAUUCCGGGUGUAGUGGUGAAAUGCGUAGAGAUCCGGAGGAACACCAGUGGCGAAGGCGGCCGACUGGGCGCACCCUGACACUGAGACGCGAAGGCGUGGGGAGCGAACG